This 471-nucleotide ribosomal RNA is filed under the name Haemophilus influenzae. RNAcentral describes it as "bacterial SSU rRNA". It matches the Rfam family "Bacterial small subunit ribosomal RNA", at positions 30 to 490 of the family's 1533-position model. The record is from RNAcentral. Lineage: Bacteria; Pseudomonadati; Pseudomonadota; Gammaproteobacteria; Pasteurellales; Pasteurellaceae.
AUUGAACGCUGGCGGCAGGCUUAACACAUGCAAGUCGAACGGUAGCAGGAGAAAGCUUGCUUUCUUGCUGACGAGUGGCGGACGGGUGAGUAAUGCUUGGGAAUCUGGCUUAUGGAGGGGGAUAACGACGGGAAACCGUCGCUAAUACCGCGUAAUAUCGAAAGAUUAAAGUGUGGGACCUUCGGGCCACAUGCCAUAGGAUGAGCCCAAGUGGGAUUAGGUAGUUGGUGGGGUAAAGGCCUACCAAGCCUGCGAUCUCUAGCUGGUCUGAGAGGAUGACCAGCCACACUGGAACUGAGACACGGUCCAGACUCCUAGGGAGGCAGCAGUGGGGAAUAUUGCGCAAUGGGGGGAACCCUGACGCAGCCAUGCCGCGUGAAUGAAGAAGGCCUUAGGGUUGUAAAGUUCUUUCGGUAUUGAGGAAGGUUGAUGUGUUAAUAGCACAUCAAAUUGACGUAAAUACAGAAGAGC